RNAcentral lists this ribosomal RNA (497 nucleotides) under uncultured bacterium. RNAcentral's name for it is "partial 16S ribosomal RNA". It matches the Rfam family "Bacterial small subunit ribosomal RNA", at positions 28 to 507 of the family's 1533-position model. The record is from RNAcentral.
GAUGAACGCUGGCGGCGUGCCUAAUACAUGCAAGUCGAGCGAACAGACGAGGAGCUUGCUCCCCUGACGUUAGCGGCGGACGGGUGAGUAACACGUGGAUAACCUACCUAUAAGACUGGGAUAACUUCGGGAAACCGGAGCUAAUACCGGAUAAUAUAUUGAACCGCAUGGUUCAAUAGUGAAAGACGGUUUUGCUGUCACUUAUAGAUGGAUCCGCGCCGCAUUAGCUAGUUGGUAAGGUAACAGCUUACCAAGGCAACGAUGCGUAGCCGACCUGAGAGGGUGAUCGGCAACACUGGAACUGAGACACGGUCCAGACUCCUACGGGAGGCAGCAGUAGGGAAUCUUCCGCAAUGGGCGAAAGCCUGACGGAGCAACGCCGCGUGAGUGAUGAAGGUCUUCGGAUCUUAAAACUCUGUUAUUAGGGAAGAACAAAUGUGUAAGUAACUAUGCACGUCUUGACGGUACCUAAUCAGAAAGCCACGGCUAACUACGUG